Molecule: ribosomal RNA, 147 nt
Filed under: Paecilomyces variotii
Lineage: Eukaryota; Fungi; Ascomycota; Eurotiomycetes; Eurotiales; Thermoascaceae
Description: Byssochlamys spectabilis 5.8S ribosomal RNA
Rfam family: 5.8S ribosomal RNA
About the family: 5.8S ribosomal RNA (5.8S rRNA) is a component of the large subunit of the eukaryotic ribosome. It is transcribed by RNA polymerase I as part of the 45S precursor that also contains 18S and 28S rRNA.
Source: RNAcentral
AAACUUUCAACAACGGAUCUCUUGGUUCCGGCAUCGAUGAAGAACGCAGCGAAAUGCGAUAAGUAAUGUGAAUUGCAGAAUUCCGUGAAUCAUCGAAUCUUUGAACGCACAUUGCGCCCCCUGGCAUUCCGGGGGGCAUGCCUGUCC